CCUACGGGUGGCAGCAGUGGGGAAUAUUGGACAAUGGGGGGAACCCUGAUCCAGCCAUGCCGCGUGUGUGAAGAAGGCCUUUUGGUUGUAAAGCACUUUAAGCGGGGAGGAGGCUCUUCUAGUUAAUACCUAGGAUGAGUGGACGUUACCCGCAGAAUAAGCACCGGCUAACUCUGUGCCAGCAGCCGCGGUAAUACAGAGGGUGCGAGCGUUAAUCGGAUUUACUGGGCGUAAAGCGUACGUAGGCGGCUUUUUAAGUCGGAUGUGAAAUCCCUGAGCUUAACUUAGGAAUUGCAUUCGAUACUGGGAAGCUAGAGUAUGGGAGAGGAUGGUAGAAUUCCAGGUGUAGCGGUGAAAUGCGUAGAGAUCUGGAGGAAUACCGAUGGCGAAGGCAGCCAUCUGGCCUAAUACUGACGCUGAGGUACGAAAGCAUGGGGAG
RNAcentral lists this ribosomal RNA (439 nucleotides) under Acinetobacter bouvetii. RNAcentral describes it as "bacterial SSU rRNA". It matches the Rfam family "Bacterial small subunit ribosomal RNA", at positions 338 to 768 of the family's 1533-position model. Lineage: Bacteria; Pseudomonadati; Pseudomonadota; Gammaproteobacteria; Moraxellales; Moraxellaceae. The record is from RNAcentral.